This 117-nucleotide ribosomal RNA is filed under the name Rhodococcus sp. NCIMB 12038. Its description in RNAcentral is "partial 23S ribosomal RNA". The stretch from base 23 to 117 matches the Rfam family "Bacterial large subunit ribosomal RNA", at positions 1 to 95 of the family's 2925-position model. Lineage: Bacteria; Bacillati; Actinomycetota; Actinomycetes; Mycobacteriales; Nocardiaceae. The record is from RNAcentral.
ACAGUGGACGCGAGCAUCUUUGUUGUAAGUAAUGAAGAGCGUACGGUGGAUGCCUUGGCACCAGGAGCCGAUGAAGGACGUAGGAGGCUGCGAUAAGCCUCGGGGAGCUGUCAACCG